This 253-nucleotide ribosomal RNA is filed under the name uncultured bacterium. RNAcentral's name for it is "partial 16S ribosomal RNA". It matches the Rfam family "Bacterial small subunit ribosomal RNA", at positions 524 to 776 of the family's 1533-position model. The record is from RNAcentral.
UACGUAGGGGGCAAGCGUUGUCCGGAAUCAUUGGGGGGAAAGAGCGUGUAGGCGGCCAGAUAAGUCCGCUGUGAAAUCUCGAGGCUCAACUUCGAGCUGUCGGUGGAAACUGUCUGGCUAGAGUCCGGAAGAGGAGAAUGGAAUUCCUGGUGUAGCGGUGAAAUGCGCAGAUAUCAGGAAGAACACCCGUGGCGAAGGCGGUUCUCUGGGACGGUACUGACGCUGAGACGCGAAAGCGUGGGGAGCGAACAGG